CGGUCAGGCAACGGUCCAUUAAGGUUUCCAAUAUAUGACUAGGGUGUCCAUUUCCUGGACGCUGAGUGGCCCUGUCCACUCUUUUUGACGCCUCCCUGCUUCGACCUUCAGCCGCCCAAAGGGCGGCUUCUUUUUG
This 136-nucleotide small RNA is filed under the name Hyphomicrobiales bacterium. RNAcentral's name for it is "BjrC1505". It matches the Rfam family "Alphaproteobacterial sRNA BjrC1505". Lineage: Bacteria; Pseudomonadati; Pseudomonadota; Alphaproteobacteria; Hyphomicrobiales. The record is from RNAcentral.